AUCGAGGGGUCCCGUAAAUUUGUCCAUGGGAAGAAGUGUUUUCCUUCAUAGUGCUUUGUGAAGUGUUGGCCUUCCGAGAUCUAUUUCGUGCAUUUUUUAGGAUGUUUCGUAUAGCUCUACGAGAUUUGUUAUGAAUUUUUCCUUGCAUGCCGCGUAUUAUGGGUAAAACAUAGCGGGCUUAAAGUGAAUUGUGGAAUGUAUCGAACUUCGUCGAUUGUCAACACGUUUAGGUUUUCCGUUAACUAUUUUGUUGUUUGGACUGAGUUUCGUUACGAAGAAUUUAUCAUAUGAUUUCCAACUGUGGGGUAUACGAUAAUUGUUCUCUUAAUAGUCACACGACAUUUGUAGACAAACCGUAGAUUGUCGUUUAGCUUCUAAGUGAUGGAGCGAUGGUUUCUCAAAUAGUUUGGCUUGGCGUGAAGGAUGUGUUCACUCUGAUAGUCAAGGACAUUAUAGGUCAAGGAUUAGACCAUGGUACUUUCGUGUUUAACAUUAAGGUCAUGUUAGUUUACGAUCGUCCUUAAAGGGGAUGCCAAAUUCUGGUUUGGACCUUUACUGGAAGGCGUAAUUGACCGAGGGCC
RNAcentral lists this long non-coding RNA (581 nucleotides) under Brassica napus (rape). RNAcentral's name for it is "long non-coding RNA (BNAP_LNC015914)". The record is from RNAcentral. Lineage: Eukaryota; Viridiplantae; Streptophyta; Magnoliopsida; Brassicales; Brassicaceae.